UAAGACAAUUUUCUUGUUUUUUUCUUCUCUUUUUCUCUAUAAUACCAUAGCUUCAGCAAAACUGGAUCAGUCAAUCUUCAAUAUUAAAAAGGGCAGGCCCGCUGCCGGAGGCUCCCACAUGAGUGGGGUCUAUGAAGCAGUCAUAAUGCACAGAGAGAUGCAAUAGUAACUCUUAAACAAAAAUGUUAUGUAGAACAAUGAUAUAUUAUAUAUACCAUCUGCGUUUGGGAAUAAUGGAAUAGCCUGUGGAACCUCCUCAUCAGAUUCAUCAUCUGAAAUAUCAAUCGCCAUAUUGCUUAUGCCAAGUGAUAAAAAACAUUAGGGAUGUUCAAUACUGAAAGAAGAGGAUCAUUACCUUCUUUGGUACUUGUGACACUGUCAUAUGUGAUAAAAAGACAGAAGCGGUUAAGGAAAAGAAAUUUGUGUUCCAGCUUCUCUAAAAAUAUUGAACAAAGUAAAAUGAAAGGUUAUUUUCUCUUGCAAUGCCAAAAUUUCUAGCCAAGGGCAGAGAUGGUGCUGGUUUUUGAGGUGACAUCCAGGGCAAGAGUAGGUUCCACUUUCAAGCUUUUUGGCCUAAAUUGGAGGGUUUCCAGGAUGUGGUGGCUACUUGGCCCUCGAUUUCUGAUGGUCAGUGCCCUCUAGCUACCCUAUCUUGAAAAUAAGGGUUGUUGCUCGUGGGUUGCAGAGUUGGAGUGAUAAAAAGGUGGGGCAUGUGAAAAAUCAACUUGAUUUAGCUAAAGAGCUCUUGCAUCAACUUGAAAUAGCCCAAGGUUGUUGAAGAAACACAGUCUUGCUUUGGCAUCCUUCUGAAAUCUCGCAUUGGAUGGCUAAAAGAUGGGGAUGCCAACACCUGUUUGUUCCAUUCUUAUGGUAGGUACCGAAAAAGGAAGAAUUUUAUACCCACUUACCUAGUAUCACUACUAUAGAUGAUAGAGUGCUGACUGUGCAUGAGGAUAAAGCAACAGAAUUUCUCAACUUCUAUAACGGGUUGCUGGUUACAGUGGAGCUUAGAGACACUACCAUUGACCUUGAUGCGCUGAGGAUUCCUUUCUCAUGAUUUGUCUGCUCUUGAAGUACCCAUUUCGGAGGUGGAGGUGUGGAACACCAUCGAGCACCUUCUUUCGGAAAGGCCCCGGGGCUGGAUGGCUUCACUGGGUGCUUCUAUAAAUUUUACUGGCCGAUUAUUAAGGGGAGUGUCAUGGCUGCUAUCUCUUGUGUGUGGGCUCAGAAAUUCAGGAAUAUGGAGCUUUUGAAUUCAGCCUUCAUCUCGCUGUUGCCUAAAAAGGUUGAUGCCCAACAUGUUUAGGACUUUCAACCUAUUAGCCUUGUGCAUAGCUUUGCUAAGCUCAUUACAAAAAAUUUGGCCAAUAGGUUGGCCGGUAAGCUGCAAAUGAUGGUCUCUCCUAAUCAAACAGCCUUUACCAAGAAGAGAUUUAUUUAGGAUAACUUUAUGUUAGUGCAACAAACGACCAGAUUUCUUAACGAUCAGAAACAACCUAGAAUCCUUUUUAAACUUCACAUUUCAAAGGCUUUUGAUUCAGUCUCUUGGGCUUUCCUUCUUGAGGUCCUGAGGAAACUUGGUUUUGGUGUCAUUUGGUGUGACUUGAUUAGUGGGCUUUUCGCUUCUUCAUCGACAAGAAUUAUUUAGAAUGGUGUGCCUGGUGACUACAUUGCCCAUCGACGAGGAUUAAUGCAGGGUGAUCCCCUAUCCCCUAUGCUUUUCAUCCUCGUCAUGGAUGUUCUUUCUCACCUUCUACGGCGUGCUUUUGAGGAUGGCCUUCUACAACUUUCUUCGCUUACAACACCGUAUGUCUCUUUAUGCCGAUGAUGCAGUGGUCUUCUUAAAACCUAUCCUAUCGGACAUCAUUUUGACUGUGAACCUCCUGACACUGUUUGGCAAUGCUUCGGGAUUGAAGACUAAUGUGGAAAAAAGUAGUGUUUUUCCUAUUCGUUGUACUAAUGAGGAGGUCGAAGUCAUCUAGGAGCUGCUGCCCUGUGGGGUUUCAGAAUUCCCUUGCAAAGCCUCCCAUUGUCUCUCAAGAAGCUUAAUACAGAUCAAUUACAAGCCAUCAUCGAUCGUACUGUGGAUAUGUGGCCAGGAUGGAAGGCGGAGCUUAUGUCUAGGGCUGGUUGUGCCACUUAUGUCUAGUGUGUGCUAACAACUAAAGUUAUUUACCCAGCUAUGGCUUUGGAUCUACUUGGUUGGGUUCUUAAAGCUAUCGAUAAGCUGCGUAAAGGUCUUUUGUGGAAAGGAAGAAAAGAAGUAAAAGGUGGCUACUAUCUGCUAUCUUGGCCUAAGGUCACUAGGCCAAAGGAGUUGGGUGGCUUGAGUAUUCAUGAUCUGCAAAAGCUUGGGUGGGCUCUUCGGGUCAGAUGGCUAUGGUUGCAAAUGACGGAGCCCCCUAGACCUUGGUCUGAAUUUCAAGUUCAGAUUUGUGAUAUUGUCAAAAAACUUGUUUCAGUGGCUGUGAUUUCGCAAGUGGGCAAACACAAUGAUACUCUUUUUUGGGCUGACAAUUGGUUACAUGGAAGGAGUGUAAAAGGCUAAAAGCUCUUGCUCCGAUUGUUUUUGCUUUAGUCUCCAAGCGUAUUGCUAUCAAGAGGCUGGUUAGUGAUCAUAUGUGGGUCAGUGACAUUCGAGGUGCCCUUACGGCCAGAGUUAUUUGGGAGUUCGUGGAGCUGUUUCAGAUAGUUGAUGAUGUUAUUCUCCAACCUGAGAUUCCUGACGCUCAUAUUUGGAGUCUUUCCCUUCUGGACAGUUCUCCACUAAAUCUGCCUAUGAUGCUUUAUGCUUCGUUUGGAUGUCGAUAUUGAAGGGCAUGGAAUUGAAUUGAGUUCAAUACCUAAUCAGUCAUGGUAUUGAAAUAAUAUGUGAUUCCAAUUCUAUUAUUUCGAUGUCGCUGGAUUGGGGUUUGGAAUUGUGCGGUCUAAUUCCAUGCAAUACAGAGGGGUGACGUUCGGUAUUGGGAGGAGUUUCUAGUUAUAGUCCAAUUCCAGGGAAUUGAGUCUCUGGUUCCAAAUCUCAAUUUUGUGUGCAACCAAACGACAUAAUUUAGGAAAGGUGAUUCCAAUUCUCAAUUCUAUGCUCUAAUAUCGACAUCCAAACGAGCUAUUAUAUUUUUUUGGUUUAACCUCUUUUGAUUCUUCUGAUAGAAUACGGAAGACAUGGGCUCCGACAAAUGUAGAUUCUUCAUAUGGUUGGUUGAACAUGACUGAUGUUGGACUGCUGACCAAUCUUGCUAGGCGCGAGUUGCCUCACUCCGAGCGAUGCCCCUUGUAUGAUCAGGAAGAGGAAUCCAUCGAACACCUGUUGGCUUCUUGCAUCUUUGCCCGACAAUUUUGGUUUCAACUGCUUCGGUCAAUUGGGCUUCAGUCCCUUGCCCGUGGGCAUGGGGAACGUUUUGAAAACUGGUGGAGGACUCGAAGUUCUCAACUUGUAGGGUUGCAUCAAAAGGGCUUCAAUUCCUUAGUUAUUCUAGGGGCUUGGGUUAUUUGGAAACAUAGAAAUAGAUGCGUGUUUGAUGGGGCUGGCCAAAUGUGGCAGCGACGCUCCUAGCUGCUAAAGAGGAGGUCUUAGGAUGGUGUUUAGCAGGAGCUAAGGGGCUGACCUUUCUCCAGGUUUUUGACCCUGUCCCGGAUUGAUAAAUAGCUCUCAGGCAGAGAAUAUGUGACCUUGCUCCUAGGCUUUUUCAAUGUAUACCCAGGAUGAUUUCAAAAAGAAGAAUUGUUCGGGAGGCUCUUCUGAAUAGAAAUGGGUCUCCGACAUGAAAGGUGCUCUCUCUAGGAGUUUUGGUGGAUUAUCUACAACCUUGGAACCUUCUUUUUGAGGUAGUGUUGCAGGCUACUAUUGAAGACAGACAUGUUUUCAGUAUUUCCUCAGAUGGUAACUAUUCAGCUAAAGUGGCAUACGAAGGGCUCUUCAUGGGAUGAGUCUAUUUCAGCCACUAUCCCAGGGUGUGGAAAACCUGGGCCCUGCCUAAAUGCAGAUUUUUUCUUUGGCUCACUGCGCAUAACAGGUGGUGGACUGCUGACAGGUUGGCCAAAAGAGGGCUUGAUCACCCACCAAAAUGCCCCUUAUGUGACCAAGAGGAUGAAACCUUAGACCAUCUCUUGGUCGCCUGUGUUUUCUGAAGAGAUUUCUGGUUUCAGCUCCUGAGGACUUUCGACCUUCAAGUGCUAGCCCCUCAGCCUGGUUUGUCUUCCUUCAUGAGCUGGUGGGAAGAAGCUUCUUAUUCGGUCAGGGGUCUUGUUAGAAAAGAGCUCAAUUCUCUUAUUGCAUUCGGGACCUGGAUUAUUUGGAAUCUUCGCAACAAAUGCAUCUUUGAUAAUUGGAACCCUAAUGUGUCUUUAGCCAUUAGGAUGGCUACAGAGGAAAGAUGGAUGUGGGAAAUGGCCAGGGCUAAAGGCCUUUCCUACCUAUGUGCCCCUCUCCUUGAGGCUUAGUCUUAGAGGGGGUUUUAGGCUAGUAGUUGGGUGCUGUCCUCUUAUGGAUUCUUUUGGGUUUCUGGUUUUUAGACCUCUGUAAGGAAGUCUAAAUUUUUGUUGUACCUGGUCUUGUUAGACCUUUUUAUCUCCUUAAUAUAAUGGGGCGCAGUUCUCCUGCGGUUUUCGAGAAAAAAGGUAGUGGGUGAGUUCAGUUUGUUGGCUUUUGUACUGUUCCUUUGAGGGUUCUUUUCCCCUCGUUUUUUCUCUUCUUAAUAUAAUGAUACACAACUCUCCUGCGUGUUUUAGAAAAAAAGGUGUUUAGUAACUCAAACUCCUCGAAUAACAAACUAGUUUUACAUUGAGGUCCCGUUUGUUUCUUUUCGUUUUGAGGAAUUGAAAUCUUACUAUUGUAAUAGGCUAUUUUUUUAGAAUGCGACAUUCCACCACUUUCCAAAGUUAUCAUAUAAGCCUAUCUCAAAUUCAUGGGGUGAGAAAUGAAAAUUGAUUCUAUAGAUUUACAUGUUAUUUUUUCGAUGUACAACUUAUAGCACACUCUUCUACUUGCUUAGUUAUAACAUGAAUGUAGUAUAUAACUAUCUCUCUCAUAUGGUUUAAGAUAAUAUAUAAAUAUAUUACAUAUAUAAAUAUAUGAACUUAAUUAAUUUUGUCUAAAUUAUAAUUAUUAAAAUAGAAUUCAAUUCCAACGAAACAAACGGGGCCUGAGGGUAUUUGUCAACUGAUAGUGUUCCAAUCGGAAACUCUUUGCCACCAACCUUCACAAAAACUCUCACAUCCUCAUUCCCCUUAUUAUCCUGUAAUGCUAUCUUAAAAGACAAAUAAUUGAAAAGUAAAAAAAAAGGAACUCCACAAAAAUAAUGUAAACCAAUAGUGAUCAUUACUAGUAGUAGGUCACACUUCACUGUGGCUCCAGUUCUGCCUACAACUCCUGGAAAUGUUAGCAUGCCUUUUGGUCUCUACUCCUUUAAAAGGAGAGUUUCGUGCGUCGUUAGACUUUUCAUGCGUCGUACCACAUGCUACCCUCCCCCCUGCUCGCUAUGGCGAGACGGCCGUUCCCGCCCCCACCUCUAAGAUUGUCGUCGUCCUUUACCGCCGCGUCCCUUUCCUCCCAUGGAGUACGCACCCUCCUCGCUCGCUUUCGUCGUCCACCGCCUGUCCGUCUCGCAUCUCCCACAGAAACCAUCUCGCCUAGGCAGCGAGGCCCGCGUCACCAUCGUCGACGUCAGGGACGAGGAGAGGGGUUACGACAGCCACAUCGUGGGGUUCCACCACUACGCCAACGACACCUAUGCGGAGCGGAUGCCUGAGCUCGCCUAGGCAACUGAGGCCAAGGAAACCCUCGACUUCCACUGCGCACUCAGCAAGGUGAAGGCCUCCUUCCCGCGUCCCUAUUUCUUUGUCAGUUCCAAGUUAGGUCCUAGGGAGGGGAUGUCCCUGUGCUCCUUCAUCUCAGAAUGUUCAGUGCCACGAGUUUGUUAGAGUGGAACAAGCUGCUGAUGCUGAAACAAUUUAGCUCUUCUAUGGAAGCGUGGAAAGUUUGAUGAAUCACAACAAUAUGUAUUUUGGUUCUUUAUUGGAUUCAUCAUACAUACAGUUUAGCAAGUAUCUAACUUACUGUUGAUACAGGCUGCCAGAUGGACCUCUUAUGGAUAUUGGCGAAAGGGCCUCUAGCGUAAUGGUUAAGGCUUCCGAGUAGCACCUCCAGGUCCUGGGUUCGAUCCCCCUCGGGGGCGAAUUUCUGGCUUGGUUAAAAAAAUCCCCUCGCUGUGCCCCGUCCGCUCCCGGGUUACGUCCUGCGCGCCACCCUCCGGCUGGGCCGUUGCAGAGUGGGCGGUGACGGCCCGCUAGUGAUGGGGGGCCAGGGUUCGGGGAUUUUCUCAGCCGGGACCAUGUUUCGGUUUCUUCUUAAUAUAAUACCGGGAGGGCGGUCUUUCCCUCCCCGGCUGAGUUUUUUUUCUCUUAUGGAUAUUGUUUUAAGUCUACCCACUUGAUGCUGUCUACGAUUUCCCUGAAGAUGUCAAAUCGAACAAAAGAUGUGCAGGUGCAUCAAACUGGACAGUAAAGGACAUUGUUGAAUCAGUGAGGAAUGAAUUUGGUAGCAUUGACAUAUUAGUGCAUUCUCUUGCCAAUGGCCCAGAGGAUCUUCUGUUUUUGGCUUGUAGUCAUCUAGAUAACAGAACUACAAUGACUAGAGUGUCCAGAAUGGAUUUUGGAGAUUUUGAUAUCUAACCAUGAGGAUGUGGAGGCAACAAUUCAUUGUGUGGAGUGACUCUCAAUGGUUGGACGAUCUUGCACUGGAGGCCAAAGGAUCAGGUGGUCCCUUCACUCUUAAAAAGCUGUAGGUUAGCUAGAUAUCGUGGUGAACUUCGGGCUACAUCUUCAAAGGCUGCUACUGAUGAAGUGGUGCUUGCAAAAACAACUCAACAAACUGCAGACCAAGAAGUGGGUGCUACAAUUUCAGCAACCCGUAUAACAACACAAUAUCAGCAGGAACAGCUGACUGUCAGCCAUGAAACGCUGACUACACUUUCAGCAGGAACUCCACCACGCAUGAAAGGAUGGCUAGUUAAAAAAUCACCCCCAAGAAGAAGAAAGUGUGAAGUAUUUGUGUUUUGUGUGUGAACUGAAAUCUGGGAACUAUGUAUCUGUGGUUUGUCUGUGUACUGAAAUCUGGGAACUGAAACUAUGUAUGUGUGGUUUCUGUGUGUGAACUGGAACUGAGUCACAGAACUAUGUAUCUGUGAUAUGUGUGAACUGCAA
Molecule: long non-coding RNA, 7203 nt
Organism: Zea mays
Lineage: Eukaryota; Viridiplantae; Streptophyta; Magnoliopsida; Poales; Poaceae
Exons: 5
Source: RefSeq, a predicted model, not a curated record